Molecule: ribosomal RNA, 301 nt
Filed under: uncultured bacterium
Lineage: Bacteria
Description: partial 16S ribosomal RNA
Rfam family: Bacterial small subunit ribosomal RNA
Source: RNAcentral
CAGUCGCCACGGGAAUACGGAGGGAGCUAGCGUUAUUCGGAAUUACUGGGCGUAAAGCGCACGUAGGCGGCUUUGUAAGUUAGAGGUGAAAGCCCGGAGCUCAACUCCGGAAUUGCCUUUAAGACUGCAGAGCUAGCAGGUGAGAGAGGUGAGUGGAAUUCCGAGUGUAGAGGUGAAAUUCGUAGAUAUUCGGAAGAACACCAGUGGCGAAGGCGGCUCACUGGCUCAUACUGGACGCUGAGGUGCGAAAGCGUGGGGAGCAAACAGGAUUAGAUACCCCCGUAGUCCCUGUCUCUUAUAC